Danio rerio (zebrafish) is the source of this 590-nucleotide non-coding RNA. The record is from Ensembl. Lineage: Eukaryota; Metazoa; Chordata; Actinopteri; Cypriniformes; Danionidae.
CUGAUUCUCCUGAAGAAUCCUUACAAGCAGGAUGAUGUUGAACACCCUCCUCUUUGUUGCUGGAUCGCAUACCAUGCCAUAUGACAAAGACAUCCACAUCACUUCUGUUUUUUUGUUUUCUUUGCUUCUGCUACUGAAAAAAUGACAAUAAUAGUAACACUUACAAUUUUUCAUGACUACAUGUAAUAUUAAUAAUAAUUUCCUCACCUGACCACUCCUCUACAUCACAGACCAAAGUCUUCCAACUGGUUUCCGGUCACUGCCAGUUCCAUGGAUUCUGUUUUGCAACUUGCUUUGCAGAGCUGUUGUGGUCUUCUGAUAUCAACAGGUCAGCAAGAUGGCCAAAUUGUUGAACAUCUGCUAAUUCCAGCACAUGACCAUGAUAGUUACAGUAGCAUGUCUGGUCACUGCAAUCAGUCACUGGAGCAAGGCCCUCUCACAGUUGGGAAAAUUCGAGUUCCUUUGAGCCUUGACUGAUUCCAGAGUGGUCUUGGCCUUCCUUACAUGGCGGUGCUUCCUGCAGAUCACCAAGUUGUCAUCAAGACUUGAGCUUAUAAUUGAGAUCCUGAUGAUCAAUCUGAGUAUCAAGG